AUACGUAGGUGGCAAGCGUUGUCCGGAUUUAUUGGGCGUAAAGCGAGCGCAGGCGGUUUCUUAAGUCUGAUGUGAAAGCCCCCGGCUUAACCGGGGAGGGUCAUUGGAAACUGGGAGACUUGAGUGCAGAAGAGGAGAGUGGAAUUCCAUGUGUAGCGGUGAAAUGCGUAGAUAUAUGGAGGAACACCAGUGGCGAAGGCGACUCUCUGGUCUGUAACUGACGCUGAGGCUCGAAAGCGUGGGGAGCAAACAGGAUUAGAUACCCUGGUAGUCCACGCCGUAAACGAUGAGUGCUAAGUGUUGGAGGGUUUCCGCCCUUCAGUGCUGCAGCUAACGCAUUAAGCACUCCGCCUGGGGAGUACGGCCGCAAGGCUGAAACUCAAAUGAAUUGACGGGG
RNAcentral lists this ribosomal RNA (397 nucleotides) under uncultured bacterium. RNAcentral's name for it is "partial 16S ribosomal RNA". It matches the Rfam family "Bacterial small subunit ribosomal RNA", at positions 523 to 918 of the family's 1533-position model. The record is from RNAcentral.